AAGUCGUAACAAGGUUUCCGUAGGUGAACCUGCGGAAGGAUCAUUAUUGAGUCCAUCCAGCUUUUUUUCUGGCAGUGCAUUUACUUGCACGCCGGGGAGAGUUGGCUCUUUGACUUUACACACCUGUGCACCUUCGGACUGCAUUUAUCCGUUCGACAUGAUUUCCUUAGAAAAAAUCUUGUUGGCACUUUCUGCUCUUCGGAGUGGGACUCGAGCGUUGCGGUGAGUUUUCUCAUAGCUCGCUUUGGGGAGAAGGCGUCCGCUUUUUUUUUACACCUUUUUGUAUGUCAUUGAAUAUCUUCGGUUGCUCUGUGAUGGAGUGAUCGUUAAAAUAAAAUACAACUUUCAGCAACGGAUCUCUUGGCUCUC
RNAcentral lists this unclassified non-coding RNA (369 nucleotides) under air metagenome. RNAcentral's name for it is "partial contains small subunit ribosomal RNA, internal transcribed spacer 1, and 5.8S ribosomal RNA". The stretch from base 1 to 46 matches the Rfam family "Eukaryotic small subunit ribosomal RNA", at positions 1786 to 1831 of the family's 1831-position model. The record is from RNAcentral.